This 68-nucleotide transfer RNA is filed under the name Marmota monax (woodchuck). Its description in RNAcentral is "tRNA.Ala". Lineage: Eukaryota; Metazoa; Chordata; Mammalia; Rodentia; Sciuridae. The record is from RNAcentral.
GGAUUGUGGCUCAGUGGUAGAGCACUCACCUAGCACGUGUGAGGCCCUGGGUUCAAUCUUGAGCACCA